UACGAAGGGGGCUAGCGUUGUUCGGAAUUACUGGGCGUAAAGGGCGCGUAGGCGGUACUUCAAGUCAGGCGUGAAAGCCCCGGGCUCAACCUGGGAACCGCGCUUGAGACUGGAGAACUAGAGUUCGGGAGAGGAUGGUGGAAUUCCCAGUGUAGAGGUGAAAUUCGUAGAUAUCGGGAGGAACACCAGUGGCGAAGGCGGCGAUCUGGGAAGAUACUGACGCUGAGGUGCGAAAGCGUGGGGAGCAAACAGG
This 253-nucleotide ribosomal RNA is filed under the name uncultured bacterium. RNAcentral describes it as "partial 16S ribosomal RNA". It matches the Rfam family "Bacterial small subunit ribosomal RNA", at positions 524 to 776 of the family's 1533-position model. The record is from RNAcentral.